GCCGUCUGUCCAGCUCUUUUACUUUUUAACUCCCAGGACUUGAACUCCAGCCAUGUCUUCUGAAGAAGGAAUGCUCUUUGUGGGAGGGCUCCACUUUAACACCGAUGAGCAGGCACUGAAAGACCACUUCAGCAGCUUUGGCCCUAUUUCUGAGGUGGUUGUUGUCAAGGACCGGGAGACUCAGCGAUCCCGGGGUUUUGGCUUCAUCACCUUCACCAACCCAGAGCAUGCCUCAUAUGCCAUGAGAGCCAUGAAUGGAGAGUCCUUGGACAGUCGCCAGAUCCGUGUUGACCAUGCAGGUGGUGGGGACCAAGGCUAUGGGAGUGGCAGAUAUGACAGCCGAUCUGGAGGAAAUGGAUAUGGAUAUGGACGGUCCAGAGACUAUGGUGGCAGAAACCAGGGUGGUUAUGACUUCUACUCAGGAGGAAAUUACAGAGACAAUUAUGACAACUGAGAUGAGACAUGCACACAAAAUAUACACAGGGAAUAACACUUCUGAGCCAGGAUUGUUCUUCCAAAAUGGCUGUAUUUAUAAAAGAUUUUUGGAGCUGCACUGAA
This is an RNA transcript of Carlito syrichta (Philippine tarsier), 558 nucleotides long. It is a transcript of the gene named RNA-binding protein 3 pseudogene, with no coding region annotated. The transcript has a single exon. NCBI's taxonomy places the organism in Eukaryota, Metazoa, Chordata, Mammalia, Primates, Tarsiidae. The record is from RefSeq and is a predicted model, not a curated record.